GCCUAGCCCUAAACCUUGGUAAUACAUCACACACCCUACCCGCCUGGGAACUACGAGCACCAGCUUAAAACCCAAAGGACUUGGCGGUGCUUUAGACCCCCCUAGAGGAGCCUGUUCUAGAACCGAUAACCCCCGUUCAACCUCACCCUUCCUUGUUUAUCCCGCCUAUAUACCGCCGUCGUCAGCUUACCCUGUGAAGGCCUAAAAGUAAGCACAACUGGCACAACCCAAAACGUCAGGUCGAGGUGUAGCGCAUGGAGGGGGAAGAAAUGGGCUACAUUCCCUAUAUUAGGGAACACGAACGGCGCACUGAAACACGCGCCUGAAGGAGGAUUUAGUAGUAAGCGGAAAAUAGCGUGUUCCGCUGAAAUCGGCCCUGAAGCGCGC
Molecule: ribosomal RNA, 387 nt
Filed under: Sebastes carnatus (gopher rockfish)
Lineage: Eukaryota; Metazoa; Chordata; Actinopteri; Perciformes; Sebastidae
Also listed under: 1 other name
Description: partial 12S ribosomal RNA
Rfam family: Bacterial small subunit ribosomal RNA
Source: RNAcentral